GACGAACCGUGCGAACGUUAUUCGGAAUCAUUGGGCUUAAAGGGCGCGUAGGCGGGCGACCGCGUCGAGUGCUGAAAGCCCCCGGCUUAACCGGGGAACGGGCCUCGAAACGGGUCGCCUCGAGGCGAGGAGGGGGACCUGGAACUUCCGGUGGAGCGGUGAAAUGCGUUGAGAUCGGAAGGAACGCCGAGGGCGAAAGCAAGGUCCUGGACUCGGCCUGACGCUGAGGCGCGAAGGCCAGGGGAGCGAACGGG
RNAcentral lists this ribosomal RNA (254 nucleotides) under uncultured bacterium. Its description in RNAcentral is "partial 16S ribosomal RNA". It matches the Rfam family "Bacterial small subunit ribosomal RNA", at positions 524 to 776 of the family's 1533-position model. The record is from RNAcentral.